AAGUCGUAACAAGGUUUCCGUAGGUGAACCUGCGGAAGGAUCAUUAUUGAGAUUGAAAAGAGUUGUCGCUGGCCUUCCGAGGCAUGUGCACGCUCUGCUCAUCCAUCUACCCCUGUGCACCUAUUGUAGAAGGGCCGAAAGGCUGUUCUAUGUUUUUACAAACACUUUUAGUUCUGAAUGUAACUUGCUAUAAACGCAUCUAAUACAACUUUCAACAACGGAUCUCUUGGCUCUC
This 235-nucleotide unclassified non-coding RNA is filed under the name fungal sp. Its description in RNAcentral is "partial internal transcribed spacer region". The stretch from base 1 to 46 matches the Rfam family "Eukaryotic small subunit ribosomal RNA", at positions 1786 to 1831 of the family's 1831-position model. The record is from RNAcentral. Lineage: Eukaryota; Fungi.